Molecule: RNA transcript, 2230 nt
Organism: Ricinus communis (castor bean)
Lineage: Eukaryota; Viridiplantae; Streptophyta; Magnoliopsida; Malpighiales; Euphorbiaceae
Gene name: E3 ubiquitin-protein ligase MARCHF1
Exons: 10
Source: RefSeq, a predicted model, not a curated record
CAAAGCUGAGUUCUGUCUUUUCUUGCAUUGACAUUGCAAUAAAUCAAUCAAUUUCCUUCUUUCUGAUUAAACCCUAAUUGUCAGAUUUAUUUCAGAAUUGCGUUAAAAGGAACCUGAACAUUAAUAUUAUUAUUAUUACUAUUAUCAUUACUAGAGCAUGAUGAAGAUCCUCAAAAUUUGGUAAAUUAAGGUUAGUCCUGGAAAUGUAUCUUCCAACAGUUGACCUGCUAUGUUCAGGAAAUUAAAUGUUUUUGCCUGUAGAAGUAUUCACCUUUUGUGAUCUUCAACGCUGAAUUGUAGUCUUUGAGAGGAGAUAUGAAUAAUUAAAGCCCAGGUUGCCUAAUUUCUGUUGAAAUGUGCAGUAGGAACUAUAGGCCUUACAAUGACGUUCACAGUUUAAUGCUGAUUCAAUAUUGUUCGCAAUGCAAUUAGUAUCAAAUGAUAGUCAAAAGGAAGAUAUUUCAGAACGUGAACCCAUUUUACGCCAAUCUAACAUUGUGCAACGAUCUGAAGAAUCAUCAUCUUCAUGUGAGAUUACAUCAAUUGGACAGGAUUGUGAUGGUGACGAUUUGGAAAGUGUUCAUGUUGAUGAAACUUGUCAUCUAGUGAAUCCAGACCAACCACAAUGCCGUAUUUGCCUUGAUAACGGAGGAGAAGACCUAAUUGCACCAUGCCAUUGCAAAGGCACUCAGAAAUAUGUUCAUAGAUCAUGUCUUGAUAACUGGAGGUCAACUAAGGAAGGAUUUGCUUUUGCUCACUGCACAGAGUGUAGGGCUUCCUUCAUAUUACGAGCCAAUGUUCCACCAGAUCGCUGGUGGUUGAGAUUGAAAUUUCAGUUUCUUGUUGCCAGGGACCACGUGUUCAUUUUUGUAGUUGUUCAGUUGAUUGUUGCAUUCUUGGGGAUGUUUGUCUACAAAUUUUAUGGAGAAGAGCUCAGAGAAAUGUUUGGCUAUGAAGAACAUCCUUAUGGCUUUUACACCGUGGCUGUUUUAGCUAUUGUUUUGGUGGGUUUGCUCUAUGGUUUCUUCAUUGCCAUAAUAUGCGGACAGAGGAUCAAUGAACGCCAUUACCAUGUUCUCGCCAAACAAGAACUAACAAAGGAAUAUGUGGUAGAAGACCGAGAAGCUAGUAAAAAUGUCCCUGAACUUGAUGCUACCCAUGUCACAGAGCUAAGAAUGUUGGGCCUUUAUUAGUUUGGAAGUCUCUUUAUUACUGUGCUCUCAAUAACAUCUACAAACAAUGGGCACCAUGUACAUAUAGUCGGAACAACUUGCAGUAAGCCCUUGACAGCUACCUCUACCACACUCCAAUUCCCAAUUAUUGAUGACCAUUAGCAACGCCAUUCAUUAGCUUUCAUGAUGUCUGACCUAGAAAGUAAUAAUAUAUCUCAUUUUCAAUUUUUUAAGCUACUCGAGCCCACCAACUUUCUAACAGAAAUCUUCAGUAGGUAAUGGCAUUUAGAGGGUAAGCCUCUGUAUUUCUUUAUAACUUCUCCAGCACUGCUCAUCUUUCCAGAAGGAAGUUAGAGAAUCUUCAGUAUGUUCUUGAAGAAACAAAGCAAGUGUAGAUUUUGAACUCUUUCUUGUUUCUAUAGUCUGUGGCUCUGUGCAUUUCAUGUUUUUAUUUUUGUCUCUAUUUAAGAACCCUGCCACCAGCCCAGCACUUACCUCAAGAGUCAGGUCACCAGAAUUUACGUAUAGGAGGGGGUAGAGUUGCUACCUAUCCCAGAUGUUUCAGUACAACCAGGGAUCAAGAAAUUGCCCAAAACGCCAAAUGAACAAAAAAACAACUGAUGCAUUAUCAUAGAGUGGAAAUACACAAGAAAAUGGCAUUGGUAUUCUGCCUUGCUUUCGGGUGGACGGGGUCAGUACUGGAUAGUCAUCAAUUCCACAUGAACAUGGAAUUAUGCAUCGCCGCAGCCAGAAACCCGGAUGCUUCUAAAUAAUUUUCUCAAUUCCCGCUUUCGUGUGAUGGAGUCAUUUUGGGCAUGAAAUUUCAGCAUUGAGCAAAUCAUGGCUAGAAAGGUGGUCCCGGUCCUUGCGCUCACUGUAUAUGCAUUAUCAGCAUCUUCUUAUUUCAAACUGCAGAGCCAGAAGUGUGAUUUAUCUUACAGUUGCUACACCGGUAUUCCAGUUGUUGUGCAUUAACAAAAAAAGAACCAGCUCCAUAGAGAAAUACUUGCUGUUAACAUUUGUUGAUUCUUAUGAGAAAAUAUCCAUACCUUUUUCCU